This 253-nucleotide ribosomal RNA is filed under the name uncultured Eubacteriales bacterium. RNAcentral's name for it is "uncultured Clostridiales bacterium partial 16S ribosomal RNA". It matches the Rfam family "Bacterial small subunit ribosomal RNA", at positions 524 to 776 of the family's 1533-position model. The record is from RNAcentral. Lineage: Bacteria; Bacillati; Bacillota; Clostridia; Eubacteriales.
UACGUAGGGGGCAAGCGUUAUCCGGAUUUACUGGGUGUAAAGGGAGCGUAGACGGUGAUGCAAGUCAGAAGUGAAAGCCCGGGGCUCAACUCCGGGACUGCUUUUGAAACUGCCAGGCUAGAGUGUCGGAGAGGUAAGUGGAAUUCCUAGUGUAGCGGUGAAAUGCGUAGAUAUUAGGAGGAACACCAGUGGCGAAGGCGGCUUACUGGACUGUAACUGACGCUGAGGCAUGAGAGCAUGGGGAGCAAACAGG